This 253-nucleotide ribosomal RNA is filed under the name uncultured bacterium. RNAcentral's name for it is "partial 16S ribosomal RNA". It matches the Rfam family "Bacterial small subunit ribosomal RNA", at positions 524 to 776 of the family's 1533-position model. The record is from RNAcentral.
GACAGAGGUGCCGAGCGUUAGGCGGAAUCACUGGGCUUAAAGCGUGUGUAGGCGGGCCGUUAAGUAUCUUGUGAAAUCCCCCGGCUCAACCGGGGAAUGGCUGGAUAUACUGGCGGUCUUGAGCGAUCUAGGGGCAGAUGGAACAAGUGGUGGAGCGGUGAAAUGCGUAGAUAUCACUUGGAACGCCAAAGGUGAAAACAGUCUGCUGGGGAUCUGCUGACGCUAAGACACGAAAGCCAGGGGAGCGAACGGG